Molecule: ribosomal RNA, 435 nt
Filed under: uncultured Myxococcales bacterium
Lineage: Bacteria; Pseudomonadati; Myxococcota; Myxococcia; Myxococcales
Description: bacterial SSU rRNA
Rfam family: Bacterial small subunit ribosomal RNA
Source: RNAcentral
AGCGAACGCUAGCGGGUGGCUUAACACAUGCAAGUCGAGCGGUCUUCGGACAGCGGCGGACGGGUGAGUAACACGUAGGAUAUCUGCCUUCAGGUGAGGGAUAGCCAGGGGAAACCCUGAUUAAUACCACAUGUGGCCCACGGGUCAAAGCCUUUGGCGCCUGGAGAUGAGCCUGCGGCCCAUUAUUUAAUCCUAGUUGGUGGGGUAAUGGCCUACCAAGGGUACGAUGGGUAGCUGGUCUGAGAGGACGAUCAGCCACACUGGGACUGAGACACGGCCCAGACUCCUACGGGAGGCAGCAGUGGGGAAUAUUGCGCAAUGGGGGAAACCCUGACGCAGCCAACCCGCGUGUGUGAUGAAGGCCUUCGGGUUGUAAAGCACUGUCGUGAGGGAAGAUGAUGACGGUACCUCACAAGAAAGCACCGGCUAACUCCG